CGUGCGGGCGAUACGGGCAGACUUGAGUACUGCAGGGGAGACUGGAAUUCCUGGUGUAGCGGUGGAAUGCGCAGAUAUCAGGAGGAACACCGGUGGCGAAGGCGGGUCUCUGGGCAGUAACUGACGCUGAGGAGCGAAAGCGUGGGGAGCGAACAGGAUUAGAUACCCUGGUAGUCCACGCCGUAAACGGUGGGUACUAGGUGUGGGUUUCCUUCCUUGGGAUCCGUGCCGUAGCUAACGCAUUAAGUACCCCGCCUGGGGAGUACGGCCGCAAGGCUAAAACUCAAAGAAAUUGACGGGGGCCCGCACAAGCGGCGGAGCAUGUGGAUUAAUUCGAUGCAACGCGAAGAACCUUACCUGGGUUUGACAUGCACAGGACGCCGGCAGAGAUGUCGGUUCCCUUGUGGCCUGUGUGCAGGUGGUGCAUGGCUGUCGUCAGCUCGUGUCGUGAGAUGUUGGGUUAAGUCCCGCAACGAGCGCAACCCUUGUCUCAUGUUGCCAGCGGGUAAUGCCGGGGACUCGUGAGAGACUGCCGGGGUCAACUCGGAGGAAGGUGGGGAUGACGUCAAGUCAUCAUGCCCCUUAUGUCCAGGGCUUCACACAUGCUACAAUGGCCGGUACAAAGGGCUGCGAUGCCGCGAGGUUAAGCGGAUCCUUUUAAAGCCGGUCUCAGUUCGGAUCGGGGUCUGCAACUCGACCCCGUGAAGUCGG
This 711-nucleotide ribosomal RNA is filed under the name uncultured bacterium. RNAcentral describes it as "bacterial SSU rRNA". It matches the Rfam family "Bacterial small subunit ribosomal RNA", at positions 620 to 1329 of the family's 1533-position model. The record is from RNAcentral.